CUGGUCCUCGGUAGUGGUUUUCGGGUGUUCAUGCCCCCGCGAGCCUCGAUCGAAGACCGG
RNAcentral lists this non-coding RNA (60 nucleotides) under uncultured Arachnia sp. RNAcentral's name for it is "Actino-pnp RNA". It matches the Rfam family "Actino-pnp RNA". The record is from RNAcentral. Lineage: Bacteria; Bacillati; Actinomycetota; Actinomycetes; Propionibacteriales; Propionibacteriaceae.